Long non-coding RNA from Ostrea edulis (European flat oyster), 165 nucleotides. RefSeq lists it as uncharacterized. NCBI's taxonomy places the organism in Eukaryota, Metazoa, Mollusca, Bivalvia, Ostreida, Ostreidae. The transcript is spliced from 2 exons. The record is from RefSeq and is a predicted model, not a curated record.
CAUCACUGUACAUGAUAACCAGGAGGUCGUUACCCGCGGUACAGCAGACACCGCCAGGUCUCCACCCCUGUAGUGUGAUCACGAUUGGGUUGACUGGGACAAUGAACAUCCAGAUAUUUUAUGUACAUACAGCGUGUAUGAUUAAAAUUUUGUUUCACUCGCGCA